UGUCUGGAAGUGGCACACUGCUCAGUAACACGUAGCUAACCUACCCUUAGGACGUGGAUACCCCCGAGAGAUUGGGGUUAAUCCGCGAUAGAUGUAAUGUCCUGGAAUGGUAUUACGUCUAAAGGUAUUUCAUACAUGUUUGAAAUAUGCCUAAGGAUGGGGCUGCGGCCGAUCAGGCUGUUGGUGAGGUAAUGGCUCACCAAACCUUUGACCGGUACGGGCCAUGAGAGUGGUAGCCCGGAGAUGGACACUGAGACAAGGGUCCAGGCCCUAAGGGGCGCAGCAACCGCGAAACCUCCACAAUGCACUCACGUGCGAUGGGGCUAUCUCGAGUGCCACCUGAUGAAGGUGGCUUUUCCUUGGUCUUCAAAGCCUUGGGAAUAAGAGGGGGGCAAGACUGGUGUCAGCCGCCGCGGUAACACCAGCCCCUCGAGUGGUGGGGAUGAUUAUUUGGCCUAAAGCGUCCGUAGCCGGCCGAGCAAGUCUUCCGUUAAAUCCAGCGUCUCAAGCGUUGGACCGCGGGAGAUACUACACGGCUAGAGAGUGGGAGAGGUCAGCGGUAUUCUGGGGGUAGGGGCGAAAUCCUUUGAUCCCCGGAGGACCACCAGUGGCGAAGGCUGCUGACUAGAACACGUCUGACGGUCAGGGACGAAAGCUGGGGUAGCGAACCGGAUUAGAUACCCGGGUAGUCCCAGCCGUAAACGAUGCAUGCUAGGUGUUGGGUUGGCCACGAGCCACCCCAGUGCCGCAGGGAAGCCGUUAAGCAUGCCGCCUGGGAAGUACGAUCGCAAGAUUGAAACUUAAAGGAAUUGGCGGGGGAGCACCACCAGGCGUGAAGCCUGCGGUUUAAUUGGAGUCAACGCCGGGAACCUUACCGGGAGCGACAGCAGAAUGAAGGCCAGAUUGAAGAUCUUGCCAGACGAGCUGAGAGGAGGUGCAUGGCCGUCGCCAGUUCGUGCCGUGAGGUGUUCUCUUAAGUGAGAUAACGAACGAGACCCGUGCCACAUGUUGCCACCAGUAUCUAAAGGAUAGCUGAGCACUCUUGUGGGACCGCAGCCGAUAAGGCUGAGGAAGGUACGGGCAACGGCAGGUCAGUAUGCCCCGAAUCUCCCGGGCCACACGCGGGCUGCAAUGGUACAGACAGAGGGCUGCCACCCCGAAAGGGGGAGCCAAUCCCUAACUGUACCUCAGUUGGGAUCGAGGGUUGCAACCCACCCUCGUGAACAUGGAAUGCCUAGUAACCGCCAGUCAUCAUCUGGCGGUGAAUACGUCCCUGCUCCUUGCACACACUGCCCGUCGAACCACCCGAAUGAGGUUUGGGUGAGGAAUGGUCGAAUGUUGGCCGUUUCGAACCUGGGCCUCGUAAGGAGGGUUAAGUCGUAACAAGGUG
This 1390-nucleotide ribosomal RNA is filed under the name metagenome. RNAcentral describes it as "bacterial SSU rRNA". It matches the Rfam family "Archaeal small subunit ribosomal RNA". The record is from RNAcentral.